Mobula hypostoma (lesser devil ray) is the source of this 1384-nucleotide long non-coding RNA. RefSeq lists it as uncharacterized. The record is from RefSeq and is a predicted model, not a curated record. Lineage: Eukaryota; Metazoa; Chordata; Chondrichthyes; Myliobatiformes; Myliobatidae. The transcript is spliced from 3 exons.
GGCGCUGCCAGCUCUUUGCUGGAGGCUUGCUUGGAGACAGUCCAAAGCGUAACUGCGAGUCGCUGGCGCUGGAAGAGCCGAUUCGGAAAUAGAAUCCCUCCUGCAGAAAUAUAGGUGCUGGUGUCAGAAAAGGCCAAAGGAAACUUGUGGAUUAUUGGACCCGCCACCGCCGCCUACACUCUCAGCCGCAGACGGUCUCAAUAACAAUUCCACUCAGCGGACAGUCUGCGUGGUGACUAUAACCGAGGGCGCGCUCGGUCUGCGUUGAAUAGGAAGGCCGAACUUCAAUGCAAACAGGUGGUAGGAUGCAGAUGUCCAAGUGGUCACUGUGCACAGCAGCCUCUGAAAUUUCAGCCAUGUGGUAACAAUUCGGCGGUACCGAAUCCUCCCAACACCUGGCAAACUGAAACCACCGAACAGUUCAAUGAGUCGAGAAAAACUACAGAUAUGAAAUAAAAUAACUGUAACCGGAGGCGUACUCUGGUGUGAUACUGUAUUCCAGCACGGAAAGAGUGGCAGUAAUCCCUUCACAUUGAAGGAUUUGGAUAAUCUGUAAAGGGAUAUUUCCCAUCCUUGCCUGUAUGGUGAAAUCAUAUAGGUCUAUGUUCUAUAAAUUUGUAGACACUUAAUAUCUGUAUAUUCCCAGUGAAUAUGUGUAGUAGUUGAAAAAAUGCAAAAAUGUUGGAGAAAUUCUUCAUUGCCAUCCCUGUCAGCUAAAGUGCCAGCGGUGAAAAUUUUGCUUUAAUAAGAGCAGAUUGUAUUUUGGCAGAAAAUAGCGUAAAAUAAGGAUCUGUACAGAAUAGUAUCAGGGAAUUUUACCACACAGACGAAAUUAUUUGGUCAAUCGAGUCUAUGCUUUAAUGUAUAUUGUAGCAUACCCAGAGAAACAUCCAGUAGAACAGUUUUUUUUCUUUUCCAAAGAAAUUUCCUUGUGAUCAGUUUUGCAAAAUAAUUAUUUCAUUUCUUGUCCCCAUUUGUUUUCCAAAUAUUUCUUAAAGGCUAUAGUUCUAAAAGAGCUAAAACCUAGUUGUUGUAGGGUUGUCCUAAUAGUGAUAAUGGAGUUUCUUCACAUUGAAGAGUAUGGGCAGUUUGUGGAAGGGAUGUUGAGAGGAUUAACAUCAAUCACCUAAUAUUUAGAGCCUCUUCACAUUGAAGAGUAUGUAAUGCAUGUCUAGCCCUUGUGUGUGCAGUGUCAUUACAAGUGAUUCUUGUUCUGUAAUGUUUCUUUUAGUUUCAUGAAAAAUUAUCUGUAUAUUCUCAAUGUAUAUGUAUCUUAAUUGGAAUAAUGGCAAACCAUUUUAAGACAGCUCUUUCCACAGAGAUUUCCUGUGCAGCACGUGAUGUGGAUCUCGUAGACCUUUGCAGGUUUAAUAAAUCAUGGGUC